Molecule: transfer RNA, 72 nt
Organism: Toxocara canis (dog roundworm)
Lineage: Eukaryota; Metazoa; Nematoda; Chromadorea; Rhabditida; Toxocaridae
Rfam family: tRNA
About the family: Transfer RNA (tRNA) molecules are approximately 80 nucleotides in length. Their secondary structure includes four short double-helical elements and three loops (D, anti-codon, and T loops).
Source: Rfam
CGGGUAGUAGCUUAGUGGUAGAGCUCCCGCUUCGUAGGCGGGAGGACCUGGGUUCGAUUUCCGGCUGCUUAC